CCUACGGGAGGCAGCAGUGAGGAAUAUUGGUCAAUGGGCGAGAGCCUGAACCAGCCAAGUCGCGUGAGGGAGUACUGCCCUAUGGGUUGUAAACCUCUUUUGUCGGGGAGCAAAAGCCGGACGUGUCCGGCUGUUAGAGUACCCGAAGGAAAAGCAUCGGCUAACUCCGUUCCAGCAGCCGCGGUAAUACGGAGGAUGCGGGGGUUAUCCGGAUUUAUUGGGUUUAAAGGGGACGCAGGCGGGUUUUAAAGUCAUUGGGAAAAUCGUGGGGACAAACCCCAUCCAGCCGUUGAAACUGGGGAUCUAGAGUGUGCGAGAGGUAUGCGGAAUGCGUGGUGUAGCGGUGAAAUGCAUAGAUAUCACGCAGAACCCCGAUUGCGAAGGCAGCAUACCGGUGCACAACUGACGCUCAGGCUCGAAAGCGUGGGUAUCGAACAGGAUUAGAUACCCGAGUAGUC
RNAcentral lists this ribosomal RNA (458 nucleotides) under uncultured bacterium. RNAcentral's name for it is "partial 16S ribosomal RNA". It matches the Rfam family "Bacterial small subunit ribosomal RNA", at positions 338 to 795 of the family's 1533-position model. The record is from RNAcentral.